AGUAUGUGCACCCCCCAAAACCCAUAUUUCGUGAAUCGCUAUUUGCUUUACACUCUCUUCUUUUAUAGUCCUUGAUGGCCUCGAGAAGGGAUUCAAGGACAAACUUGCCCCAAUUAUAUUCUCGGGCAGAAGACACACUGAAGCUCGCUCUGGGCCUUCUGAUCCCAUCGUGGUUGCUAGACUUGAUGAAUUGGAGAAGGCUGUCCGUAAGCUGAAUGAGGCUGCUUUCUUUUCAC
This 236-nucleotide long non-coding RNA is filed under the name Daucus carota (carrot). RNAcentral describes it as "long non-coding RNA (DCAR_LNC006967)". The record is from RNAcentral. Lineage: Eukaryota; Viridiplantae; Streptophyta; Magnoliopsida; Apiales; Apiaceae.